AGUGAACGCUGGCGGCAGGCCUAACACAUGCAAGUCGAGCGGAUGAAGGGAGCUUGCUCCUGGAUUCAGCGGCGGACGGGUGAGUAAUGCCUAGGAAUCUGCCUGGUAGUGGGUGAUAACGUCCGGAAACGGGCGCUAAUACCGCAUACGUCCUGAGGGAGAAAGGGUGGGAUCUUCGGACCUCACGCUAUCAGAUGAGCCUAGGUCGGAUUAGCUAGUUGGUGGGGUAAAGGCCUACCAAGGCGACGAUCCGUAACUGGUCUGAGAGGAUGAUCAGUCACACUGGAACUGAGACACGGUCCAGACUCCUACGGGAGGCAGCAGUGGGGAAUAUUGGACAAUGGGCGAAAGCCUGAUCCAGCCAUGCCGCGUGUGUGAAGAAGGUCUUCGGAUUGUAAAGCCCUUUAAGUUGGGAGGAAGGGCAGUAAGUUAAUACCUUGCUGUUUUGACGUUACCAACAGAAUAAGCACCGGCUAACUUCGUG
RNAcentral lists this ribosomal RNA (484 nucleotides) under uncultured bacterium. RNAcentral's name for it is "partial 16S ribosomal RNA". It matches the Rfam family "Bacterial small subunit ribosomal RNA", at positions 29 to 507 of the family's 1533-position model. The record is from RNAcentral.